Molecule: ribosomal RNA, 504 nt
Filed under: uncultured bacterium
Lineage: Bacteria
Description: partial 16S ribosomal RNA
Rfam family: Bacterial small subunit ribosomal RNA
Source: RNAcentral
GAUGAACGCUAGCGGCAGGCCUAAUACAUGCAAGUCGAACGGGAUCUGAGGGUAGCUUGCUACCCGAUUUGAGAGUGGCGCACGGGUGCGUAACGCGUGAGCAACCUACCCAUAUCAGGGGGAUAGCCCGAAGAAAUUCGGAUUAACACCGCAUAAUAAUACGCUAACACAUGUUGAUGUAUUUAAAUAUUUAUAGGAUAUGGAUGGGCUCGCGUGACAUUAGCUAGUUGGUAAGGUAACGGCUUACCAAGGCGACGAUGGCUAGGGGCUCUGAGAGGAGAAUCCCCCACACUGGUACUGAGACACGGACCAGACUCCUACGUGAGGCAGCAGUAAGGAAUAUUGGGCAAUGGACGCAAGCCUGAACCAGCCAUGCCGCGUGCAGGAUGACUGCCCUAUGGGUUGUAAACUGCUUUUGUUAGGGAAUAAACCUUCUUACGUGUAAGGAGCUGAAUGUACCUAAAGAAUAAGGAUCGGCUAACUCCGUGCCAGCCGCCGCCGUAA